Molecule: non-coding RNA, 28 nt
Filed under: Mus musculus (house mouse)
Lineage: Eukaryota; Metazoa; Chordata; Mammalia; Rodentia; Muridae
Source: RNAcentral
UUCACACAGAAGGAAAGAUGAGACGAAU